UGGGCUCCUGAUCCCAGCCUCCCUGAUGCCCUCCUGAUGGACGCUAAACAGGCCCAGGGCUUAGUUGACAGGCUGCCAGCCACCAUGUGCCUGGCACGGGAGUGAGCUGCUGGCACAGACUGUGCCGAGGCCUCCCAACUCCAGCUGCCUCACAGCCCUACACAUCCAAGGCUUGCUUUAAAUCUCCUAAGUCCUGAAGGGCAAACCACCACACAAUCUCUCUGAGCCUCAGCUUCCUCUUGCAGAAAAUGAAGACAGAAAGAACAGCACCUACUUUCAAGGAAAAGGAGGCCACGCCCCUCAGCGGCUUCAGGAGCCCAGACCUUUGGGGGCCCACCUUCCGCAGCUUUCCAUUGGCCCCACGGUGGAAGCCCGUAGGUUCAGGCCCUCCGAACACAGCUCGCUUUCCACACCAGCGGGGCCGUACCAGAGCAAGACCAUGUCUCACAAAAUAAUAAUAAUACUUAAAAAAUGAUAAAGAAAGAUUGUCACUAGGCAAAUGUCCAAAAAGCUUCUCAGCCGAAAGCUGGAUUAUUCAACAGUCCCUGAAACAAAUAUACACAGAGGACAAGUGAUUUUUUUAAAAAGGGAAACAAGCCUGGCAUGGUGGUCCAUGUGUGUAAUCCCAGCACUUUGG
This 637-nucleotide long non-coding RNA is filed under the name Homo sapiens (human). Its description in RNAcentral is "HSALNT0256291". The record is from RNAcentral. Lineage: Eukaryota; Metazoa; Chordata; Mammalia; Primates; Hominidae.